Molecule: long non-coding RNA, 743 nt
Filed under: Elaeis guineensis (African oil palm)
Lineage: Eukaryota; Viridiplantae; Streptophyta; Magnoliopsida; Arecales; Arecaceae
Description: long non-coding RNA (EGUI_LNC005206)
Source: RNAcentral
CUUCGCACAAGGGCCCCUGAAAUCAUGCCAUCUAUUAAUAGAUUCUUUGCCAAUCCGAAAUAAAGCAUGUGCAUCUGAGCUACCUGAAUUUUCAUGAACCUCCUCUUUCUGUUCUACUUGCUGAAUUGGUGAAGAACUUUAUAUAGCUUUGAGAUUGUCAUGCAAUUGACUGUUGUUUCACUUUAAAUGUGCACUUGCCUCAGUAACAUGUACCUCAAGGAGAUUUAUGACCAUCACUAUGUCUGUUGUUUGUUUCUUUGGUUGCUUAAAGAAAGGAUUAAUCUGUCACUCUUGCAACCUUCUGAUUUUGCCCUGUUCUAUGAAGCUAUCAGCCAUGCUGGCUCUUUUAUGCCUUCUAGAACAAGUAUCUGUUUUGGGAAACCACUGGAUCAUAAUUUGCUGGACCUAUGGAGCCUAGUUAUGGUGCCCGACAUACUUCUGAACUGACUGUAGAUGAAAACUCUUGUGACAUUUAGCUAUUCUGCUAAAUGGAAUUACGUGGUAUCUCCAAAAACAGAGAUACACUGGUUGGGCAUCAAAACAAGGCCAUAGGCAAUAUCUCUAAAGAGUUCUUAAAAUUAAGAUCCAAUGUUUCAAACUUUUGGAGAUUUUCAUGGUUACAACUCAUUGAUCUUUCCUACAGUAGCCUCUGUACUAACUGGACUUCUAAAUGAUCCGAGAUAACUUGGCAUACUAGGCACCUGACCAUGGCUUGUGUUUGCACCCGAAUCAUUUCAUUGGCC